UGGGGAAUAUUGGACAAUGGGCGGAAGCCUGAUCCAGCAACGCCGCGUGAGGGAUGACGGCCUUCGGGUUGUAAACCUCUUUCAGUACCGACGAAGCGAAAGUGACGGUAGGUACAGAAGAAGGACCGGCCAACUACGUGCCAGCAGCCGCGGUAAUACGUAGGGUCCGAGCGUUGUCCGGAAUUAUUGGGCGUAAAGGGCUCGUAGGCGGUUUGUCGCGUCGGGAGUGAAAACAGCGGGCUUAACUCGUUGCUUGCUUUCGAUACGGGCAGACUAGAGGUAUGCAGGGGAGAAUGGAAUUCCUGGUGUAGCGGUGAAAUGCGCAGAUAUCAGGAGGAACACCGGUGGCGAAGGCGGUUCUCUGGGCAUUACCUGACGCUGAGGAGCGAAAAGUGUGGGGAGCGAACAGGAUUAGAUACCCUGGUAGUCCACACCGUAAAACGUUGGGCGCUAGGUGUGGGGUCCUUUCCACGGAUUCCGUAACGUAGCUAACGCGUGAAGUUGACCGCCUGGGGAGUACGGUCGCAAAGAUUAAAAACUC
Molecule: ribosomal RNA, 541 nt
Filed under: uncultured bacterium
Lineage: Bacteria
Description: partial 16S ribosomal RNA
Rfam family: Bacterial small subunit ribosomal RNA
Source: RNAcentral